AUUACAAAUUUCAAAGGGUGGCACAACAUACUUCCUUGACAAUUUUGAGGGGUGACAACUCAGAUACACUACAUUGGCCUGAAAAGGGAAUCCACCCAGGUAAUUUAUAGGUUGAGAUCAAAUUUGUUGAAUUUAAAAAAAUUUCCAUCCGAUCAUCAGCUAGCUAUUAUUCGAUUGCUUAGUAUUCUAAUCUAUAUGUGUUGUCACGGACUUUGAAUUUGAUGAAAUUAUAUUUUACUUGUGCAGUUAGCUAGCUUGUUACACUUGCUAUGUUUAAAUUUGAUGAAGAUGGUGGGUAUUGCUGGAGUUUGCUAUCUUUUUUCUUCGAUGCAAAAAUAGUCAUGAGCAUUGAUGCAACUUUGCACGUUUAGCUUCUUCUUAGAUUGGAAUUUGUAGUGCGCUUCACCAAAACUACUAGGAUGAUUUUUUUUUGUUUGGUUGAUCAGUGUUGUUGGCUUCGUUGUGUUGCUGGAAAUUACUGAUCAUGGUUCAUUAAUCUCAAAACUGCUAGUCUUCUACAUGGUACUGAAAUUUGAUUUUUAUGUUGUUACAAUACCUUCUAUAUAUGUUGGACUUGUCACAUGUAUUUGGAUAAAUUAUGUUUGUUGACAAUUAUCAAUAAUUAUUCAGUGUUAUUCAUUUCAUUUUCUUUGUCAAUGAAUUUUUAAUUGCAAUAUUCA
RNAcentral lists this long non-coding RNA (680 nucleotides) under Citrus maxima (pomelo). RNAcentral's name for it is "long non-coding RNA (CMAX_LNC000903)". The record is from RNAcentral. Lineage: Eukaryota; Viridiplantae; Streptophyta; Magnoliopsida; Sapindales; Rutaceae.